Molecule: long non-coding RNA, 1557 nt
Filed under: Populus trichocarpa (black cottonwood)
Lineage: Eukaryota; Viridiplantae; Streptophyta; Magnoliopsida; Malpighiales; Salicaceae
Description: long non-coding RNA (PTRI_LNC002129)
Source: RNAcentral
CCUUACCUACUAAAAGAAAGUUGUGAGAAAGAGAUGAGUUGCUGAGCAAGCAUCAGCAUGGUGCAAGUUUAUUAAUCAUGUCAGAAUCCCAAACCAUAAUUCACAUUUUAGCAGAGCAUGAUGCAAGGUACAUGAUAAAAAAAUUUAUUACAUUACCAUGUUUAGUAACCAGCAAAUAUUGAACAAACCUACUAUUUGAACUCAAUUGACUACGCAGAAAUUAGUACAGAGUGCAAAAUGGUUCCUUUGGCAGCAAGAUUAAAUUGUACUUGUCAUUUUAUUCGAAAUGCCUUACAUCUUAAUGCUUUUAAGUUUUAACAGCCUAUCCCAAUUCUAGUUUGUUUAAAAAUGAUGUCGAAACCACAGGGGGCGCCGAUUUGGUUGAAUUUGUAUCAAACAACAAACAUGCUUCCCGUGAACACGAGUCGCAAAGCAAUUAGAUUCGGUGCCCAUAAUGCCAAAUAUUGUAGCUAUCCAGAGAGAUGGGGUUUUGAGGCUAUGUUGAGUUCAGAAUAAAUUUGUUGAUGAUGGCCAAACUUGUCAAAUCAAAGCAGGCAUAAUCAUAGAAAUUUAUUCACUCUGAGAUUGUAAAAUGCUCAGCAUACUUCACGAGCUUGAAUUAGGCCCAUCACAAUGUAUGAAGAGAGAAUAUUUCUCACCAUUGGUUACUGCAAAGGAGGCAGCAUUGGGUCAGGUAAAGUUUCUGAAAAGAAGGGUUUCUCAUCUGGACUUUUACAUCGCCCCACAUAAUUUAAGAGGAGAGAACUUAAAAUUUAUGAAAUCAUGAUUUUGUUAGAGUGUUUUCCUUUUUUCUCUCUUGAAACCGUACCUGAGGAUGGAGCCUUUCGGUUUCUUUUACAAUGAACUCGACUAAAGAACCAUGGAAACCGUCCAUGCAUAGAAAAUCAUGGUUGUAUGAGUUUGCGUUGUAAGCAUACUGUGCUCUGAGCAAAAGGUUGAAAAUUAUACCGUCUUCUUGCAAAAUUAAAGAAUUCCUUAUCACAUAAAGAGUCAAGGUCUGUCUGCUAUCCACCCUUGUUUGAGCAUAUCUACAUGGAAAGGGAGAAAUAAUGUCAGAUAUUGCUGUUCAAACAAGAGUAUAAAUCACCCAUGCCAGCAAAAAGCUCCCCCAUACAGAAGGAAUUAUAGCUAGUUAAAUAUGAUAAUUGGUAAGUCCUGGCUCUCUCACAAAUUUAUCAUGUUAAACUCCAAGGUAUGUACUUUCAUGCAACUAAUCAAUGCUUUAGUAGUUUUACACAGUCGUACCUGAGCUUCCAGAGAAGUUAAAAAAGGAAUAACCACAAAGUCUAUCCCAAGGAAUAUCAGGAGUUCCAUCUCUUCAUAUGUCAGACCCUCACGUAUCACCGCGUUGAAUGUGCACAACAAGGGUAUAGCGAAGUGCUCCAUUAACAAGAUUUUACGGUCACAAUUAAGGUAAUGCAGAGCAGAAUAAAGAUGCAUUUUUCUGGAAAUGUUCCUAACUUUCUUAAGCUAAUUAAGUCAUGAAUAGAUGGGAAACUCUGCUAGAAAUCCCUCCAAGUAGUUACAGUGAAAUUG